AGCAGCCGCGGUAAUUCCAGCUCCAAUAGCGUAUAUUAAAGUUGUUGCAGUUAAAAAAGCUCGUAGUUGAAUUUCGGGGUCAGUAGGUUGGUCGUGCCACUGGUAUGUACUGGUCUCACUGAUUCCUCCUUCCUGAUGAGCUGUAAUGCCAUUAAUUUGGUGUUGCAGGGAAUCUGGACUGUUACUUUGAAAAAAUUAGAGUGUUUAAAGCAGGCUAACGCUUGAAUACAUUAGCAUGGAAUAAUGAAAUAGGACGUUCGAUCCUAUUUUGUUGGUUUCUAGGAUUGACGUAAUGAUUAAUAGGGAUAAGUUGGGGGCAUUAGUAUUCAAUUGUCAGAGGUGAAAU
RNAcentral lists this ribosomal RNA (346 nucleotides) under uncultured Glomeromycotina. RNAcentral's name for it is "SSU rRNA". It matches the Rfam family "Eukaryotic small subunit ribosomal RNA", at positions 569 to 917 of the family's 1831-position model. Lineage: Eukaryota; Fungi; Glomeromycota. The record is from RNAcentral.